CUCAAUAUGUAUUUGUUCAAUGAAUGAAAUGGAAGGAGGGAUGUGGAGCCUGUCUGUGUACCUCUUAACACAUAGCAGCCCAUGCAACUAGUAAACUCCAGCCUGAUAAAUGUCCUGGAAUGCUAACCAACCGGAUUAGCAAGUCUACUGCUAGGAUUGGGUUGCAAUGUAGCUAGGAAGGUGAGAGAGGAAGUAGAUGUGGGUCUGCUGGAGAGAGAAGAGGCUGGAAAUUUCUUUACAGUGGAAGGAACAAGUGAGAGAAUAAAAGAAGCUAUGACAGAGCGAACAGAUUGUACACAGUCGCGGAAAUCCUGGAAAGUCUGGAAAUGGACUAACUCAGGCCGGGGCAACUGUGACAAGCCAGGUGAGGACACAUUGAGACGGUGGCCAUCUGUAAGGCAGGAAGAGAACUGUCAUGAGGAACCAAAUCUGCUGGCACCUUCAUCUUAGACCCCCAGCCUUUGGAACUGUGAGAAAUAAAUG
Molecule: non-coding RNA, 483 nt
Organism: Equus caballus (horse)
Lineage: Eukaryota; Metazoa; Chordata; Mammalia; Perissodactyla; Equidae
Source: RefSeq, a predicted model, not a curated record